CGCCUGUUAUACGCCACUGCACACCUUGAAGCUAAUACAUGCAAUUGCGCUUUGCUGAUUUUUUCCUUGUAUUUACACGUUUCAGUUUGUCACUUUCAUGCUACCAUGACAUCUUUUGUCGAUUCUUCUCAUGAAUAUGCAUAUUAUCGGAGAUGCCAUUUUGAUUUUGUAUGAAGAACUGACGUUCGAGGGAAUGAAUGACGCUUAUUUUGUUUCAAGCUCGCAAGGAAGCACCAUCAAAGAAAUAAAAUAAAAUGAGGCAGUGAGCCUGCCUCACAAUAUAAUUUUCAAGCGGCUUUUCUGGUGUCGGUGGAGUCUUGUAUCAAUCCUUGAACAUACCCGAGUCUUCGAUCCAUCAGUAGCAAAAGUCAAGGAACAGCACUUGUCGGAGGCAUGGUCUCAGCGACCAAGAGAAGGAAGACAGUAAGAGAGAGAAGAACCGUUAUACCAAGACUGAUCUUUUCACCCGAUUCUGGAGGCAAGAAGAAGCUGAGUAGCGCCACCAUCGACACGAAUGUGCAAGGUGAUUCAACAUAGGAAAGACGCCAAAAUUGGCUGCGACACCGGUGGCUUGUUUGUGAAGGGGACUCGAGUCAUGGAAUUAAAGGAACAAAUUACUGAGGGGAGUGAAGUGAGAAGAAAUAGGUGAACACCUAUCAAGGACAAAAGCACCCCCCCCCCCGACCAUGCCAUCUUUUCCUUCACUCACACUCUAUCAUUACCCCUAUAUAUAAAGUGAGCUUGCAUGUCCAUUUUAUUACCAUCGAUGUUUCUACGUGUUCCGGACCUGUUUGUGACUAUAAAUGAAUUUCUUUAGAAUUGUUAAUUUGUGUAAGAACGAUCGAUACUUAAGAUACAUGACUUGAUCAGUCCUAGGUCAUUAAGGAUGUGACCUUGAAUGCCCCGUUGACUGGCUUUGAUGCUCCCUCUCAUAGGCUUAAGAUGUGCCCUUUUUAUUUUCCACUUCUGUGUUGUAACAUAGAAUGUGCCCCACUUAAAAUGCAACCUUGUAUUAAAAAAAAAAUUGUAACUUAACACCUGAAGAUAGAUCUGAAAAAAAGAAAUAGCUUAUCAUUAUCCCCCUUGUGAUGAAACGUGGAUCGAAUAAAAUUGAAUUGAUAUUUAUUUUCCAAGAGAAUAUCAGAAUAAACAGAACUGAACGUGGUUUCAUUAUCAUACAUAAUAUACGAUGGUUUCAUUAUAUGCACGAUUUUACAUGUCUCUUAAAUUAUUGUCAGAAUUUGUAAAAUAGUGAUGUUAUUUGAACAAAAAAGGGAGAUUACUAAGGAAUAGCAAAUGAUCAGUGUUAACACGCAGGUCCUUAGCAUCCGGAAGAAAAUGGGAGGAAAUUGUCAUUUGAUGAACAUUUAAAAUGAAUGUGCAAAUGAAGUAUAUAUGAUCAUGUGCAGUGAAUAAAAAGAUGAAAUGAAAAUAUAGCAGUGGAUAUGAAUAAGUAUAUGUUGUGAUCGCAAUAAUACAUUGACAUUGGCAAGGCUAACAACCGUGCAGUUAAACCAAUCUGUAACAUCAUGAUCAUGUAGCAUUCUUUUGAUUUCGGCUCUAGUAUAUGAAUUAAUAUUAUGCAUCGAAUAAUGCAACGUAUAAAGUAAGGACGAUAUUAUUUUUCAGCCCCAAAAUGUGUUUCCAGUAUAUUGACCAUCAAAAAAUAUAUGAAUCCCAUUUUUUUUUAUACAACGAAGGUAACAUCAGGUACACCACACGGGGGGAGGGGGUUAGAAUAAAAACGGAUCAAAUGAUAACGAAUAGUUUGCCAAAUGAAUUCAAAAGUGGCCAUGGAUAUAUAUAAAUAAUGCCUCUGACUGAUGAAGUAAAUCGAAGGUGUGGUGCGACAAAAGAACUUGUGCUUUUAGUAUGGAGAGUAUUUUAGCGAAAUGCGAAAGAUAAUGAAAUAUG
This 1914-nucleotide long non-coding RNA is filed under the name Lytechinus variegatus (green sea urchin). RNAcentral's name for it is "uncharacterized LOC121425575, transcript variant X1". The record is from RNAcentral. Lineage: Eukaryota; Metazoa; Echinodermata; Echinoidea; Temnopleuroida; Toxopneustidae.